Molecule: unclassified non-coding RNA, 185 nt
Filed under: plant metagenome
Description: partial contains 5.8S ribosomal RNA, internal transcribed spacer 2, and large subunit ribosomal RNA
Source: RNAcentral
GGGCAAGCUCAAUUACGCGUCCUCCGGAAUCGGCAGCACGCAGCAUCUCGCUGGUGAGAUGUUCAAACUCAUCACGGGCACGAACCUGGUCCAUGUGCCGUACAAAGGCAGCGGUCCGGCCGUGGUCGACCUGCUGGCCGGCCACGUGUCGAUGAACUUCGACACCAUGCCGCCCGUGCUGCCGC